This 937-nucleotide ribosomal RNA is filed under the name Cortinarius sp. PDD 72797. RNAcentral describes it as "LSU rRNA". It matches the Rfam family "Eukaryotic large subunit ribosomal RNA", at positions 37 to 961 of the family's 3401-position model. Lineage: Eukaryota; Fungi; Basidiomycota; Agaricomycetes; Agaricales; Cortinariaceae. The record is from RNAcentral.
AGCAUAUCAAUAAGCGGAGGAAAAGAAACUAACAAGGAUUCCCCUAGUAACUGCGAGUGAAGCGGGAAAAGCUCAAAUUUAAAAUCUGGCGGUCUCYGACUGUCCGAGUUGUAAUCUAGAGAAGUGUUAUCCGCGCUGGACCGUGUACAAGUCUCCUGGAAUGGAGCGUCAUAGAGGGUGAGAAUCCCGUCUUUGACACGGACUGCCAGGGCUUUGUGAUGCGCUCUCAAAGAGUCGAGUUGUUUGGGAAUGCAGCUCAAAAUGGGUGGUAAAUUCCAUCUAAAGCUAAAUAUUGGCGAGAGACCGAUAGCGAACAAGUACCGUGAGGGAAAGAUGAAAAGAACUUUGGAAAGAGAGUUAAACAGUACGUGAAAUUGCUGAAAGGGAAACGCUUGAAGUCAGUCGCGUUGGCCAGGGAUCAACCUUGCUUUUGCUUGGUGUACUUUCUGGUUGACGGGUCAGCAUCAAUUUUGACUAUUGGAAAAAGGUCAAGGGAAUGUGGCAUCUUCGGAUGUGUUAUAGCCCUUGGUUGCAUACAAUGGUUAGGAUUGAGGAACUCAGCACGCCGCAAGGCCGGGUUUUAACCACGUACGUGCUUAGGAUGCUGGCAAAAUGGCUUUAAUCGACCCGUCUUGAAACACGGACCAAGGAGUCUAACAUGCCUGCGAGUGUUUGGGUGGAAAACCCGAGCGCGUAAUGAAAGUGAAAGUUGAGAUCCCUGUCGUAGGGAGCAUCGACGCCCGGACCAGACCUUUUGUGACGGUUCCGCGGUAGAGCAUGUAUGUUGGGACCCGAAAGAUGGUGAACUAUGCCUGAAUAGGGUGAAGCCAGAGGAAACUCUGGUGGAGGCUCGUAGCGAUUCUGACGUGCAAAUCGAUCGUCAAAUUUGGGUAUAGGGGCGAAAGACUAAUCGAACCAUCUAGUAGCUGGUUCCUGC